GUCUUUGUAGCUUACAAUAAAGCAUGGCACUGAAGAUGCCAAGAUGUCACCACACGUGCCCAAAGACA
Molecule: transfer RNA, 68 nt
Filed under: Phoebastria albatrus
Lineage: Eukaryota; Metazoa; Chordata; Aves; Procellariiformes; Diomedeidae
Description: tRNA-Phe
Rfam family: tRNA
About the family: Transfer RNA (tRNA) molecules are approximately 80 nucleotides in length. Their secondary structure includes four short double-helical elements and three loops (D, anti-codon, and T loops). Further hydrogen bonds mediate the characteristic L-shaped molecular structure. tRNAs have two regions of fundamental functional importance: the anti-codon, which is responsible for specific mRNA codon recognition, and the 3' end, to which the tRNAs corresponding amino acid is attached (by aminoacyl-tRNA synthetases). tRNAs cope with the degeneracy of the genetic code in two manners: having more than one tRNA (with a specific anti-codon) for a particular amino acid; and 'wobble' base-pairing, i.e. permitting non-standard base-pairing at the 3rd anti-codon position.
Source: RNAcentral